UAUAACAGGUGUUCCUUGUGUCCUUUGUAUACACAUUCAUUCUGUAUUCAAAUCACAGAAGCAAGAGACAGGAUAGGGUCUGUUACCUCACUGCUAAUUUCCCUAGCAAAUAAACCAGCAGCUGCUGGUCCAUGAACCAAGUUGCCACCAGGAACAGGGCACUGUAUGCAUGGGACAGGAUGCUUUCAUGGAGUCCUUCAGCAACACGGUUGGGGGCUUUCAGUGCAAAAUAUACCUCCUUCUCUUAGCAGGUGCUUGCUCAGGACUAAAAGUGACCGUGCCCUCACACACUGUUCAUGGCAUCAGGGGUCAGGCCCUCUACCUCCCUGUGCACUAUGGAUUCCACACACCAGCAUCGGACAUCCAGAUCAUAUGGCUGUUUGAGAGACUCCACACGAUGCCCAAAUACUUACUGGGCUCCGUGAACAAGUCUGUGGUUCCCGACUUGGAAUACCAACACAAGUUCACCAUGAUGCCACCCAACGCGUCUCUGCUCAUCAACCCAUUGCAGUUCACUGAUGAGGGCAAUUACAUCGUGAAGGUCAACAUUCAGGGAAAUGGAACUCUCUCAGCUAGUCAGAAGAUCCAAGUGACCGUUGAUGAUCCUGUAACAAAACCAUUGGUGCAGACCCAGCCUUCCUCUGGAGCUGUGGAGUAUGUGGGGAACUUGACCCUGACAUGCCUCGUGGAGGGGGGCACCCGGCUGGUUUACCAGUGGCUAAAAAAUGAAAGGCCUGUCCACACCAGCUCCACCACCUCCUUUUCUCUGCAAAACAGUACCCUUCAUAUUGCUCCAGUGACCAAAGAAGAUAUUGGAAAUUACAGUUGCCUGGUGAAGAAUCCCGUCAGUGAAAUGGAAAGUGACAUCAUUAUGCCUACCAUAUACUAUGGACCUUAUGGACUUCGAGUUAAUUCUGACAAAGGGCUAAAAGUAGGGGAAGUGUUCACUGUUGACAUUGGAGAGGCCAUCUUAUUUUAUUGUUCUGCUGAUUCUUAUCCCCCCAAUACCUAUUCCUGGAUCCGGAGGACUGACAAUACAACAUAUGUCAUUAAGCACGGGCCUCACUUGGAAGUUGCAUCUGAGAAGGUAACCCAGAAGACAACUGACUAUAUGUGCUGUGCUUACAACAAUGUAACUGGACGGCGAGAUGAAGCUCAUUUCACAGUCAUCAUCACUUCUAUAGGACUGGAGAAGCUUGCACAAAAAGGGAAAUCAUUGUCUCCCUUAGCAAGUAUAACUGGAAUAUCACUCUUUUUGAUUAUAUCCAUGUGUCUUCUCUUCCUGUGGAAAAAAUAUCAACCCUACAAAGUUAUAAAACAGAAGCUAGAAGGCAGGCCAGAAACAGAAUACAGGAAAGCUCAAACAUUUUCAGGCCAUGAAGAUGCUCUGGAUGACUUCGGAAUAUAUGAAUUUGUUGCUUUUCCAGAUGCUUCUGGUGUUCCCAGGAUGCCAAGUAGGUCUGUUUCAGCCUCUGAUGGUGUAUCAGGACAAGAUUUGCACAGUACAAUUUAUGAAGUCAUUCAGCACAUCCCUGCCCAACAGCAGGACUGUCCAGAGUAUUGAAAGGAAUAAAAGAAUUUAAGGUUCUUCUACCUGUGGAACUGGAACUCUGUAGAAUAUUUUACAUAUCUUGUAACAUCUCUUUGCCAGUUCCAGAAAGAAUUUAUGGAAGCUCAUAUAAAUGCAUAAUGUAACAAGAUAAAAUAUACCCCCAAAAUGAAGUUGAUAAAGAAAACAGGAUGAAGGAACAAUGAGAGUUUACAAAGGCACAUUGAAAGCAGAAAUGAAGCUAAUAACCAGUAUGAUGGAUUCCCCCUCAUCUCCAAGUAUUGUUUUAUUACACCAGGAUCACACAGCAUAUACAGGUGGAUGUCUAAGGAGGGACUUCUAAACCAAAUGCAAUUUGUAACUGUCAGUCCAAAAAAGGUUGCAAUCCCCUCACAGGGUUGGAAAAGAACAGGUCAGCUUUCCCAGCCACCACUCACGGAAGUUCCAUCUGCCCCUCCCCUCCUUCCUCAGUCCUGAAUUCCCUCCCUCCCGAAGGUCCUUGCAUCUAUCUCUUGGAGAGCAGAUUAACUCCCAUGAGCUCCAGCUGUGUCUCUGUGUUCCCCUUCCAAGACCCAACCCUGGAACUCUUUCAAUCAUGGACCAUCUUACACAGCCUUUUCUUGCAUGGGUAACAAUACAUUCACAUGCUUCCCAAUCAAAAUCUUAUAAGAAUGAUGUGCCAAGACAACUGUUUGUAUUCGAUUUUGGUUUGGCUGAUUUUGUGUAUCCCUCCAGAGUUCCUUACCACAAACCAAAGGAAAUACAAACACAUAUUUUUAUUUUCUCAAACUCACUUUUCAGUCACUUGUAAUUCCUCUCAUUUUUGUAUUGUUCUCUCACACACAAAUAUACAGACUCUCUUAGAGCAUGGUUCCACUCAAAGCAACAAGGAAUUGCUGAAGGGAGCAAUGUGAAAGGAUCUAGAAUCCAAUUAACUUUUGCUGUCAAUGGGGUGUCAUACCAGGUGACUCACUGCUUUUUUAGUAUAUGGGGAUGAAAAUCUCAUAAAUUAAUCAAGGUUUCCAAGGGAAGUGAUGGACCAAAUACAGAUGUUUACCUAAUUAACAAAUUAAUCUUU
RNA transcript from Neogale vison (American mink), 2627 nucleotides. It is a transcript of the gene named HEPACAM family member 2, with no coding region annotated. The record is from RefSeq and is a predicted model, not a curated record. The transcript has 11 exons. Lineage: Eukaryota; Metazoa; Chordata; Mammalia; Carnivora; Mustelidae.